UAAAUCUAACUUCAGACCAUAC
This 22-nucleotide non-coding RNA is filed under the name Arabidopsis thaliana (thale cress). The record is from RNAcentral. Lineage: Eukaryota; Viridiplantae; Streptophyta; Magnoliopsida; Brassicales; Brassicaceae.